AUUGAACGCUGGCGGCAUGCCUUACACAUGCAAGUCGAACGGCAGCACGGGAGCAAUCCUGGUGGCGAGUGGCGAACGGGUGAGUAAAGUAUCGGAACGUGCCCAGUCGUGGGGGAUAACGUAGCGAAAGUUACGCUAAUACCGCAUACGAUCUAUGGAUGAAAGCGGGGGAUCGCAAGACCUCGCGCGAUUGGAGCGGCCGAUAUCAGAUUAGGUAGUUGGUGGGGUAAAGGCUCACCAAGGCGACGAUCUGUAGCUGGUCUGAGAGGACGACCAGCCACACUGUGACUGAGACACGGCCCAGACUCCUACGGGAGGCAGCAGUGGGGAAUUUUGGACAAUGGGCGAAAGCCUGAUCCAGCCAUGCCGCGUGCAGGAUGAAGGCCUUCGGGUUGUAAACUGCUUUUGUACGGAACGAAAAGACUCUGGUUAAUACCUGGGGUCCAUGACGGUACCGUAAGAAUAAGUACCGGCUAACUACGUGCCAGCAGCCGCCGUAA
Molecule: ribosomal RNA, 500 nt
Filed under: uncultured bacterium
Lineage: Bacteria
Description: partial 16S ribosomal RNA
Rfam family: Bacterial small subunit ribosomal RNA
Source: RNAcentral